AGAGCUUUGAUGAACCCUAACAUGCCAUCUGACUAAUCUUGCUGAAACCCAGAGGCUGUUUCUGAGCAA
This is a small nucleolar RNA of Monodelphis domestica (gray short-tailed opossum), 69 nucleotides long. The record is from Ensembl. Lineage: Eukaryota; Metazoa; Chordata; Mammalia; Didelphimorphia; Didelphidae.